CUGCAGAUGGGCUAUGCUUGGUGCACUUGGCUGCGUCUUCCCCGAAAUCCUAUCCAAGAAUGGUGUCAAAUUUGGCGAGGCAGUCUGGUUCAAAGCUGGAGCCCAAAUCUUUUCAGAAGGCGGUCUUGAUUAUCUUGGCAACCCUAACCUUAUCCACGCUCAGAGCAUCCUUGCAAUCUGGGCAGUUCAGGUUGUGCUAAUGGGAUUUGUUGAAGGCUAUAGAGUUGGUGGAGGACCACUCGGUGAAGGACUUGACCCCAUUUACCCUGGUGGUGCCUUUGACCCUCUGGGGUUAGCUGAUGAUCCUGAUGCAUUUGCAGAAUUGAAGGUGAAAGAGAUUAAGAACGGACGCUUGGCAAUGUUUUCCAUGUUUGGGUUCUUUGUUCAGGCUAUUGUAACUGGAAAGGGACCAAUUGAGAACCUCUUUGAUCACUUGGCUGAUCCAGUGGCCAACAAUGCAUGGGCUUAUGCCACUAACUUUGUUCCUGGAAAAUGAAGAGAGAAUCAGGUUCAACAUUACUCAGUCCUGGUGCUUUAAAUUUCUGGAAAUGUUCUUGUUGUGGAGGCCAUUAUUACUCUACGGGUGUUUUAGUAGUUGGAAAGCAUUGUAUCAACAGAACAUGAAAUCAGAUUUCUCCACGCUUGAAACUCUGUAUUUGGAAGGAAUGUGUCAUAAUUAAAUUUAAAAGCUUUCAGUCAAAACAUGACUUUUCAUUGCUAUAUACCACCAGUAAUAGUUGUAUGGUGAAAUUAACUCCUAGGCUGUGGAUCCAAAACACAGAUCAGUGGGAUCUCUCAUUUUCAUAUAUCUACAGACCGAAAUAACUCAUCUCCCUCUAUAAAAAUUCAAUUCAAUUUCUUAUUAAAUUUUUAUUUAAAAUAAAAAAAAUUAAAAUUUCAUUAUAUAUAAAAAUAAGUUUGAUGAAUAAUUUUAUAAAAAUUCAUUUAAACUCUUUUUCUUACAAAAUUAUUCAUAAACGAGGGGGUAAAAAGUUUUCCUGUCCCCAUAUUACCAAUGAAUAAACAAAGCUUACCGAUGAAUUGGCCUCUGCACUCUCCAACAUGGUCAUGCUAAUCAAGAGGUUGUUGCCCUUCAAUGGAAAAAGAAAAAUAUAUCAUGAAGAUAAUGGUUAAAAACAGAGUAUUGGGUGCUUCAUUCUGUUUAAAGUUUUUAGAAAAUAAAUUUACAUAAAAUGAAAAUUACAUAGGAAUUAGGAGCAUUUAUGCACCUAAGGACACUAAAUACAAAACGAGCUUAUUAAAACUGGUAUUUAUCGUAAUUCAAUUACAAUGCUGCUGAAAAAGGAAUUUAAUUAUAUAUCAUAAAUAUUUCUAGGGCUCCAUUUAUUUUAUAAAAAAUAACUUAAUUAUAGUUAGUUGCAAUAUUUAAAAUAAAGGGAUUAAUAAGAUUUUUAAAAAAAAUGAAAAUAGAAAAUUGGAGAGUAAAACAUGAAAUCUUUUAGAUUUAUUCAUAUUCAUUUGCAUUAUGCUAAAUCUGUGUGUGCAUGGAUUAAUAUGAUUUAUAUAUUUAAAAUAUGUUGAUGUUAAUAAAAUUCUUAAAAUUAAAAAAUAACUUUUAUUUUUUAAAUGAAAAAAUCAGUUCAUAUAUAAUAUAUGUCUUAAAAACUAAAGAAGAUAAAAAUAUUUUCCACAAAUAAAGCAUCCACUAAAAGUCAACCUGAAUUUUAUGCGUAGAUAAAAUUGUUUUAAAUUGGGUGUGAUUUUUUAUUUUCUCUAAAUACAAGAUAAUGUGAGUUAUUUCAAGUCAUGAAUCACUUAUAAUUACAAACUUGAAAGUAAGAUUGGCUAAAGACUACAUUGAUUUUUUUUUAAAAAAAAAUUAUUACUUAUUUUAUAAAAAAUAUUUUUUAAAAUAAUAAUUUAUUUAUUAACUUUUUAAUAUAUUCAAAGACAAAUAUAACUUUAUUUAAUAUGUAUUAAAAAAAAUAAAUUUAUUAGUUUCAAAUUUAAUUUUUUUCAAAAAAAAAAAAUUAAAGAGUAAAAUAUGAAAUAUUUCCUGUAUAUUUAAUUAUAUUUAUUAUUAAAUUAAAUCGAUAAAUACAAUUUUAAAAAAUAAUUUAUAAUGAGAGAAUGCGAGUUAAGGACAUAUAAAAAAUACCAUAUAGUUUUUUUUUUUUUGAAAUAGGGGGUUAGGGGAGUCGAAUUUUAGACCUUUCAAGACUAGAAAAUGCACUUUCCACCAGACUAAGUUUUGGAAUAACACCAUAUAGUUUUUAUUAUUUUAAUUAUAUUUUUUUCAAAAUUUUAAUUAUAUUUUUUUCAAAAUUUUAAUUAUAUUAAUUACAUUAUAUUACUGUGAAGUCUUUUUGACUCGAUUUGUGGCCUCUAUUCAAUCCAAGGAAGAUCUUUCAAUUCCACAUGGCAAGAGAGUAACCUCCACAUCCCUAAAAAAUCAACAAAGAAAUCUACAUCUAAUCCAAUAACCAAUAGAAUGGAGCUGAUGUGUAGAUUUCCCAAUCCACAAAUCUUCUCAUAGCCCAUUUAUCUCCCGGCUCUCUUGACACUUGACAGACACCUCCUCUCCACAAAAUUAGCAAAAGCUUCACAAAGCAAUUUAGACAUGGCAACCUCUGCAAUCCAACACUCCGCCUUUGCUGGGCAGACAGCUUUGAAGCAGUCAAAUGAGCUCGUCCGCAAGAUUGGUUCCUUCGGCGGCGGUCGCUUUUCCAUGCGCAGAACUGUCAAGAGUGCUCCACCAAGCAUAUGGUAUUUAUUAUUCUUAACCACCAAUUUAUUAUUAUCUUAAUUUCUUAACAAAUGAGGAUUAAGCCAAAUAAUUAGAAGAAGAAGAGAAAACGAAUUGUAGAUCUCAAAAGUAUUUGGGUAUUCGUGUUGGGAUCUAACGGCAUAAACUGUAAUUGAUAAAACAGGUAUGGCCCAGACCGUCCCAAGUAUUUGGGUCCGUUCUCUGAGCAAACACCAUCAUACCUUACUGGUGAAUUCCCCGGUGAUUAUGGAUGGGACACUGCUGGUUUAUCUGCAGAUCCUGAAACAUUUGCCAAGAACCGUGAGCUUGAAGUGAUCCACUGCAGAUGGGCUAUGCUUGGUGCACUUGGCUGCGUCUUCCCUGAAGUCCUUUCCAAGAAUGGUGUCAAAUUUGGCGAGGCAGUCUGGUUCAAAGCUGGAGCCCAAAUCUUUUCAGAAGGUGGUCUUGAUUAUCUUGGCAAUCCUAACCUUAUCCAUGCUCAGAGUAUCCUUGCAAUCUGGGCUGUUCAGGUCGUGCUAAUGGGAUUUGUUGAAGGCUAUAGAGUUGGUGGAGGACCACUUGGGGAAGGACUUGACCCUAUUUACCCUGGUGGUGCAUUUGAUCCUCUGGGACUAGCUGAUGAUCCUGAUGCAUUUGCAGAAUUGAAGGUGAAAGAGAUCAAGAAUGGACGCUUGGCAAUGUUUUCUAUGUUUGGAUUCUUCGUUCAAGCUAUUGUGACUGGAAAGGGACCUAUUGAGAACCUCUUUGAUCACUUGGCUGAUCCAGUGGCCAACAAUGCAUGGGCAUAUGCUACUAACUUUGUUCCUGGAAAAUGAAGGGAGAAUCAAGUUCAACAUCUCAGUACCAGUAUUUUAAAUUUCUGGAAAUGUUCUUGUAGUGGACGUCGUCAUUACU
RNAcentral lists this long non-coding RNA (3622 nucleotides) under Manihot esculenta (cassava). RNAcentral describes it as "long non-coding RNA (MESC_LNC000579)". The record is from RNAcentral. Lineage: Eukaryota; Viridiplantae; Streptophyta; Magnoliopsida; Malpighiales; Euphorbiaceae.